This 875-nucleotide ribosomal RNA is filed under the name uncultured archaeon. RNAcentral describes it as "bacterial SSU rRNA". It matches the Rfam family "Archaeal small subunit ribosomal RNA", at positions 21 to 903 of the family's 1478-position model. The record is from RNAcentral.
CCUGACUGCUAUCGGAUUGAUACUAAGCCAUGUGAGUCAUUGUAGCAAUACAAGGCAGACGGCUCAGUAACACGUAGCCAAUCUAACCUAUGGACGGGGAUAACCUCGGGAAACUGAGGAUAAACCCCGAUAGAUCAUUAUGCCUGGAACGGUUUAUGGUCCAAAUGAUUCGUCGCCGUAGGAUGAGACUGCGGCCUAUCAGCUUGUUGGUGAGGUAAUGGCCCACCAAGGCUAUUACAGGUACGGGCUCUGAGAGGAGAAGCCCGGAGAUGGGUACUGAGACACGGACCCAGGCCCUAUGGGGCGCAGCAGGCGAGAAACCUUUGCAAUGUGCGCAAGCACGACAAGGUUAAUCCGAGUGUUUCCUGCUAAAGGAAUCUUUUGUUAGUUUUAAAAUCACUAUUGAAUAAGGGGUGGGCAAGUUCUGGUGUCAGCCGCCGCGGUAAAACCAGCACCUCAAGUGGUCAGGAGGAUUAUUGGGCCUAAAGCAUCCGUAGCCUGCUCUGUAAGUUUCCGGUUAAAUCCAUUAGCUCAACUAAUGGCUUGCCGAAAAUACUGUAGAGCUAGGAAGUGGGAGAGGUAGACGGUACUCGGUAGGAAGGGGUAAAAUCCUUUGAUCUAUUGAUGACCACCUGUGGCGAAGGCGGUCUACCAGAACACGUUCGACGGUGAGGGAUGAAAGCUGGGGGAGCAAACCGGAUUAGAUACCCGGGUAGUCCCAGCUGUAAACGAUGCAGACUCGGUGAUGCCCUGGCUUGUGGCCAGUGCAGUGCCGCAGGGAAGCCGUUAAGUUUGCCGCCUGGGAAGUACGUACGCAAGUAUGAAACUUAAAGGAAUUGGCGGGGGAGCACCACAAGGGGUGAAGCCUGCGGUUC